UGGGGAAUAUUGGACAAUGGGCGCAAGCCUGAUCCAGCCAUGCCGCGUGUGUGAAGAAGGCCUUUUGGUUGUAAAGCACUUUAAGCGAGGAGGAGGCUACUUGGAUUAAUACUCUAGGAUAGUGGACGUUACUCGCAGAAUAAGCACCGGCUAACUCUGUGCCAGCAGCUGCGGUAAUACAGAGGGUGCGAGCGUUAAUCGGAUUUACUGGGCGUAAAGCGUGCGUAGGCGGCUUCUUAAGUCGGAUGUGAAAUCCCUGAGCUUAACUUAGGAAUUGCAUUCGAUACUGGGAAGCUAGAGUAUGGGAGAGGAUGGUAGAAUUCCAGGUGUAGCGGUGAAAUGCGUAGAGAUCUGGAGGAAUACCGAUGGCGAAGGCAGCCAUCUAGCCUAAUACUGACGCUGAGGUAAGAAAGCAUGGGGAGCAAACAGG
This 430-nucleotide ribosomal RNA is filed under the name Acidobacteriota bacterium. Its description in RNAcentral is "Acidobacteria bacterium partial 16S ribosomal RNA". It matches the Rfam family "Bacterial small subunit ribosomal RNA", at positions 355 to 776 of the family's 1533-position model. The record is from RNAcentral. Lineage: Bacteria; Pseudomonadati; Acidobacteriota.